Molecule: unclassified non-coding RNA, 300 nt
Organism: Callithrix jacchus (white-tufted-ear marmoset)
Lineage: Eukaryota; Metazoa; Chordata; Mammalia; Primates; Cebidae
Rfam family: Metazoan signal recognition particle RNA
About the family: The signal recognition particle (SRP) is a universally conserved ribonucleoprotein.
Source: Ensembl
GCCAGGUGCAGUGGCGUAUACCUGUGGUCCCAGCUACUUGGGAGGCUGAGGCGGGAGGAUCGCUUGAGCCCAAGGGUUCUGGGCUGUAGUACACUAUGUUGAUCAUGUGUUUGCACUAAGUUCAGCAUCAAUAUGGUGACCCCUCAGGAGUGGGGGAUCACCAGGUUAUCUAACCAGGGAUGAACCAGCCCUGGUCAGAAACAGAGCAGGUAAAAACUCCCAUGCUGAUGAAUAGUAGGAUUGCACCUGUGAACAGCUACUGCAUUCCAGCCUGGGCAACACAGUAAGACUUUGUCUCUA